RNAcentral lists this long non-coding RNA (237 nucleotides) under Ananas comosus (pineapple). RNAcentral describes it as "long non-coding RNA (ACOM_LNC023639)". Lineage: Eukaryota; Viridiplantae; Streptophyta; Magnoliopsida; Poales; Bromeliaceae. The record is from RNAcentral.
AUGUAUUUUUUUUUGAGAGAUAGGUAGCACGCUACCCAUUUACUUCAUUUAGAAAUAAACUUAGCUGGAAAUGUGAAUCAACUAGGAUUCGAACUUGGGCCUCGGGUACCAACCACCAAGCCCUUUGCCACUUGCUUUAGGGACGGUCGGUAUCGGUCGGUAUCGAGCUCAAUGUAUUUAGUUUUUCUUUUGCUGUGUAAAAUGCAGCGGAAGUAUACGUUCGUACUUUUUCAGAAG